Delitschia confertaspora ATCC 74209 is the source of this 73-nucleotide non-coding RNA. The record is from the annotation of a GenBank genome assembly. Lineage: Eukaryota; Fungi; Ascomycota; Dothideomycetes; Pleosporales; Delitschiaceae.
UCCUAGAUCGUCUAGUGGUUAGGGCACGAGUUUGCCACACUCGUGCCCAGGGUCCGAUUUCUCUGUCAAGGAG